RNAcentral lists this ribosomal RNA (578 nucleotides) under Trigonopterus arachnobas. RNAcentral's name for it is "SSU rRNA". Lineage: Eukaryota; Metazoa; Arthropoda; Insecta; Coleoptera; Curculionidae. The record is from RNAcentral.
GUCAUAUGCUUGUCUCAAAGAUUAAGCCAUGCAUGUCUCAGUACAAGCCAAAUUAAGGUGAAACCGCGAAAGGCUCAUUAAAUCAGUUAUGGUUCCUUAGAUCGUACCCACAAUUACUUGGAUAACUGUGGUAAUUCUAGAGCUAAUACAUGCAAACAGAGCUCCGACCGGAGACGGAAGGAGUGCUUUUAUUAGAUCAAAACCAAUCGGUGGCGGGUUCGCUCGUCAUCGUACAACUUGGUGACUCUGAAUAACUUUUCGCUGAUCGCACGGUCAUCGCACCGGCGACGCAUCUUUCAAAUGUCUGCCUUAUCAACUGUCGAUGGUAGGUUCUGCGCCUACCAUGGUUGUAACGGGUAACGGGGAAUCAGGGUUCGAUUCCGGAGAGGGAGCCUGAGAAACGGCUACCACAUCCAAGGAAGGCAGCAGGCGCGCAAAUUACCCACUCCCGGCACGGGGAGGUAGUGACRAAAAAUAACGAUACGGGACUCAUCCGAGGCCCCGUAAUCGGAAUGAGUACACUCUAAACCCUUUAACGAGGAUCAAUUGGAGGGCAAGUCUGGUGCCAGCAGCCGCGG